RNAcentral lists this ribosomal RNA (253 nucleotides) under uncultured bacterium. RNAcentral's name for it is "partial 16S ribosomal RNA". It matches the Rfam family "Bacterial small subunit ribosomal RNA", at positions 524 to 776 of the family's 1533-position model. The record is from RNAcentral.
UACGGGGGGAGCAAGCGUUGUUCGGAUUUACUGGGCGUAAGGGGCGCGUAGGCGGCGCAACAAGUCACUUGUGAAAUCUCCGGGCUUAACCCGGAGCGGCCAAGUGAUACUGUCGUGCUAGAGUGCGGAAGGGGCUACUGGAAUUCUCGGUGUAGCGGUGAAAUGCGUAGAUAUCGAGAGGAACACCUGCGGCGAAGGCGGGUAGCUGGGCCGACACUGACGCUGAUGCGCGAAAGCCAGGGGAGCGAACGGG